This 1335-nucleotide long non-coding RNA is filed under the name Monodelphis domestica (gray short-tailed opossum). Its description in RNAcentral is "lncRNA (ENSMODG00000029408.2)". The record is from RNAcentral. Lineage: Eukaryota; Metazoa; Chordata; Mammalia; Didelphimorphia; Didelphidae.
AUUGGUUCUCUCUCCCUCAGGUCGCUCUCCCUAGGCUCUCUCUCCCUCAGGUCGCUCCCCCUGGUCUCUCUCUCCCUCAGAUCGCUCCCCCUGGUCUCUCUCUCCCUCAGAUCGCUCCCCCUGGUCUCUCUCUCCCUCAGAUCGCUCCCCCUGGUCUCUCUCUCCCUCAGGUCGCUCCCCCUCGACUCUCUCUCCCUCAGGUCGCUCCCUCUGGGCUCUCUCUCCCUCAGAACGCUUCCCCUGGACUCUCUCUCCCUCAGGUCGCUCCCCCUGGACUCUCUCUCCCUCAGGUCGCUCCCCCUGGACUCUCUCUCCCUCAGGUCGCUCCCUCUGGGCUCUCUCUCCCUGAGGUCGCUCCCUCUGGACUCUCUCUCCCUGAGGUCGCUCCCCCUGGACUCUCUCUCCCUCAGAACGCUCCCCCUGGACUCUCUCUCCCUCAGGUCGCUCCCUCUGGGCUCUCUCUCCCUCAGAACGCUCCCCCUGGACUCUCUCUCCCUCAGGUCGCUCCCCCUGGACUCUCUCUCCCUCAAGUCGCUCCCCCUGGACUCUCUCUCCCUUAGAUCGCUCCCCCUGGGCUCUCUCUCCCUAUCCCUCCAGGAUUGCCUCCUGAAGGUUCCCUCCCUCUCCCUAGGGCUGAGAAACCUGUCGUUGACUGUCUCUCUUUCUUGGUGGAAGAUCCCCCUAAAACUGCUCUCUCUAAAGGGUAACCUCUCCUCGAGGAGCUCCCUCUCUUCUGGGAGUAAAUUAACCUCUCUGGGUCUCUCUUCCUGGACCAAGUUCCUCUCCUCCCUGUCUGUUCUAGGGUACCUCGGUUCUACUCUCUCCCUCAACCCCCAGUCUUGGAUUGGGUGGGUUACAACGCUUUCUCUGUCCCUCAGUAGGUACCUCACCAGAGUUCUCUCUCUUUCCUGGAUGAUUCCCCUUAUCUCUCUCUCCCUCCAAAGGAGCCUCUCUUCUAAUCUCGCUCUCUCCUGCUGGAUAGUCCCCCUAAGCUCUCUUUCUCGACCUAGACGCCUCAGAUCAGCCCUCUCUUUGUUUUCCUGGAUGUGCCCCCUUAACGCUCUCUCUCUUUCUGUGGAUGACUGGCCCCCCAGCUCUACUUCCCCUCGAGGUUCCCUCUCCUCAGCUCUCCCCUCUCUCCCUCGACGCCCCCUUCCCUCAGCGACGCCCGCUUCCCGAAGCUCUCGUUCUCUCUCCUCCUCGAACCGGACAGGUCACAGGCGCGCACGCGCGAGCGCGGGCAGAAGGGCAGGGAGGGGCAGGUGGGUUAGGCUCAGUCCUCGCGACGUUCCUGUCACCGGACACGCCGUUUUCACUCUUCUUUGGCCUUCCUGA